CAGAACCAGGCCGCUGAGAGUUGCCUGAAGUCCCUCUGAGACUGGUUGGCCAUUGCUAUGGCCAGAGACAUUUUUUUGCCAGUUUCCAGUAAGGUCUAUGAAUUGGCCUACAGACGUCAGGAAAGGAGAGGGAAGAGAGGAGAGAAGAGGAGAGCAGGGAAGAGAGGGGAGACGAAGGGAGGGGAAGAGAAGGGGGGAGGGGAGGGGAGGGAAGGAGAGGAAAAGAGGAGGGGGCAGGAGGAGGAAAGGAGAGGAGAAGGAGAGGGGAGGAGGAGGGAAACAGAAGAGAGGAGAGGAGGGCAGGGGAGGACGAGACAAGACUAGCAGAAGUGAGAGCCUGCAGAGACCUCGGUGCCAGCUGGGGCGCUGCUGCCGCGCGAGGCCGGUCCUGCGCAGAGAUGCCCCCGGGGGCGCGGGCGCCGGCUGAGGAGUCGGAGCGGCAGCUCUGGCCCCGAUUCCCUGGGCAGAAUUCCUGCGGGCUUGAAAGACGCAAGGAGAGGAAGGCUCCAUCUGUCAGAAAUGCCUCCGCAUGGAAAAGUGCUCAAGACACAGUCCUAGCCCCAGCACUUGACUGUGCCUUGCAUACAGCGGACACUCAUAAACACUUGAUGGAUGACAAUGCGUUGAUGCAAGCAAGGCUGAAUCUCGGACAUGAUGAGAGAGAGAAAGUAGAGGAGGCUGACGCUGCGGGCUUGUUUGUCCAUCCGUUCCUGCAUCCCUUUAAAGCAUCUGCUCUGCCUUCAGAGGACUCAGUAGCGCUGCUCGACUCAGAUGGGAGGAUGUGAUCAGACGUCAGGGGAAGUUUCCCGGAAAAGGCUUAAACUACUAGAAGCCAUUAUUCAAGGAAAAUUGUGGGUGCUAGAAGACAUGAACUCGCGUAUGUGGCUCAGGCCGUAUUUCUGCUGGCCAGCGCCGGCCAGUCCGCUGCGGGAGUGCUCAGGAAGUCAAGACACCAGGCGCUGGGAGGCCUGACGCGCGGCAUCUUGUCCAUCUGGCCAUUGGAGCUCCAUGCUGCGACGGCCGCGCAGAGGAGCUGGGUCCAGAGCGCCCGGCGCAUCUGCCGUAUCGCGGACUCGACGCCAGCAUCACUGCUGCAUGGAUUCAGACUGGGAUAGACUGCUCCCGAAAUUUGACUUGGAGAAGAAAGCGUGACGUGCACUUCCUGUGUGUGGCAGUCCGCGAGCCGUCCCCGGGCGCCCUCCUCCCGCCUCCACCACUUUGCGCCUGGCUUUCUCUUUGCCCGGAGGAGCCCUCCUCCCGCCUCCACUGGUGAAAUCCUCCUCCGUCCUCACUGCCCAGUUCAAGUCCUCGUCCUCUUUCCGGGCUUCCUGGUUCUCCAGAUGGGAAAAGAGGUGCUCCUAAUCCACGCUCUCGCAGGAGAAGCAGAGCAAGCGCGCAGGGAGUGCUGACUGUCCAUGAGACAUCAUCGGGAUUUCUAGCUGGCGUUUCCUAGAAUCACCUUCCAAAUGAACCACCUGUACUUGAAUGGUGGUUUGAGCGCUGGUGUCUGGAGGAACCAAAACUAAGACAAUGGCUGUAUCAAGAGUCUGAAGAAUGAAGUCAUGGUCGGAGUCUGAGUCAUGCUUCAGAACUGUUUACUGAGAGAAAAGUGCUUCUGAUGGAAGCUCACGCACCAGUGAGGUUGGGGAGCACGAGAAAGUGAGAACAGAAUGGGGCUGAAGGAAAGGACAGGAAAGGAGAAGGGGUUACUUCAACAAGUUGGUUCUGCCGGAGGCUCAGGAACGUGGAGAAGCAGUUUGAGGUGUGCAGAGGAGAAAUGCACAGAAGGCCAGGAAGCCCGACACUAGAUCACUGCCUCCUGGGAAAUCAUGAAAUCUGAUUAAAACAGACACCGUAAGGGCUCUUUUUGUGCUAUGCACUUUUCUUCCUGGGGAAUUUGCAUAUUCCCUGAUAAAAAGAUAGAUAUAAAGUGUCCUGAAGAAUAUUAAGAAGUAAACCGUAGUACAACGCCUUUAGUUUUGAAUAGUAAGAACUCUGUUUCCUCAUUUCCUUUGGAAAUCUAACAAAAUAUUCCUUAUGAAAAAUUUUUGAGGAUAAGCACUUAAAAGACAUUGCUACAAGCUGUGCUCCUAAUGUUUUCUUAUCAUUUUUUACCUACAUGGAAAGCAUACAGAUCACCAUGACGGCCCCGUAGCUGCCAAGUGAAAGGGUGUUAAGAUGAUUUUGACCCUCUACAUUGAAUGUGCUGUCAUCUUUACUGUAAAAGAAAUUACCUAGACUCAAAUCAUUAUCCAGAAGUCACUAAAUCUUUUGACAUAAAAUGGCAAAAUCUUUUAAGAAUAAAUGAUAUAGCAAGACCAAGGAUAAACUGAGUUCAACAAAAAUCAAUUGCUGUGAAAUCUAGUUUGUCUAUUUUGAUUUUGUCUAUUUCCUUGUCUUUCUCCUGGGGAGAGGAGCAGAUUUUGUACCUAAACCAAAGAUGGGGACACCACUGGUGAAGCCGUUCUUUUGUCUUCUUCCCGCAACGCAUGCCUCUGCUUGAACCUCUUCCCUCCCAGGUCUGAGGUGGGAGCUUGGGGACCCCAGGGUCCUAAGGGAAUGACAAUUGUGGCAUUCAUCUCUGGGAGGACAGGGGGAGAGGGUGUAUAAGAAAAUAGUGUUCAGGCCAGUUAAUGACGUGAGCGGGGGAAGGGCAAGCGUGGGGAACGGAGCGGGUUCUGAGAGCAAGAAGGGGAUGAAAUGGGUGAU
RNAcentral lists this long non-coding RNA (2709 nucleotides) under Equus caballus (horse). RNAcentral's name for it is "lncRNA (ENSECAG00000039424.3)". Lineage: Eukaryota; Metazoa; Chordata; Mammalia; Perissodactyla; Equidae. The record is from RNAcentral.